Long non-coding RNA from Zea mays, 1968 nucleotides. RefSeq lists it as uncharacterized. The record is from RefSeq and is a predicted model, not a curated record. Lineage: Eukaryota; Viridiplantae; Streptophyta; Magnoliopsida; Poales; Poaceae. The transcript is spliced from 3 exons.
UCCAUGUGUCUCAACUUAAGAAGUGUCUUCGUGUCCCUGAGGAACAGUUACCAAUGGAAGAGCUCAGCGUUCAUGGUGAUUUGAUUUAUACGGAGUAUCAUGUCAAGAUUAUUGAUACUUUGACACGAGUUACAUGAAAUAAGGUGAUAAAGAUGUGCCAAGUGCAAUGGAGUCACCACGGGGAAGAUAAAGCUACGUGGGAGAGAGAAGAAGAGCUUCGCAUAGAUUUUCCCCAUCUUUUCCCUAGUCCUUCCUAAAUCUCGAGGACGAGAUUCUUUGUAAGGGGGGUAGGAUUUGUAAUAUCCACUUUUGUAAUCAGAGUAUAAAGAAAAUUAUAUUCCUGUAUACAUAUGUGUGUCAUCCAAGUUUAUCAUUUCAUGAGCACAUCACAUAUAACAAACAACUAAAUGACAAAAGGCACUUAAAUAAAAUAUACAUCAUGCUGGGAUUUAUUGUGUGUGUGCAUUUGGUGACAUAAAUAAAUCAACAUUCAAAUUGAGGAUUUAAUACCUACUUUGAAUAAAUAGAAUAGAAGGAGAGAAAUACUAUAAAAUACAAAAUAAAACUUAUAAAAAAAUCAUAUUGGCAAGUUCAAAUUUAAACCUAACCCAAGGAAAAAUUUUCCACAAAAAGAAUUUCUUUUAGAAUUAAAGUUUUUGAAUUUGGAAAGGAAUGAAAGAAUAACAAAUAAAAAAAAGAAAGCAGUCUUCGGCCGAGUGGGCCUCUAUUCCAUGCUUUCGGCCCAUCUUCGGAUCCAGCUCACGUAGCCCAACUCCAUUUUGCCACCAAACAUCUCCACCGCGCGACCUGCUUCUCUUUUGGGCAUGCGGACCUCGCAACUCAGUCUCCUGGCGCGCGCAUAGUACCAUUACCAUUUCACUGACAGGUAGGCCCAUCUGCUCAGCUUCGUCAACAAACUCGCGGAGGAAGCGCGGUCUGGUGCGAUCUCGCCGGAAUCCGUUGACUGGCUUCGGACCGAGCUCGGCCCUUGGUGGUAUAAAAAAAAAGAAGACGUUCUCGCCAGCCUAGCUCUAUCCUACACGCGCGCGCGCCGCAUCCAUUUCCCAUGCCGCUGACGAAUGGGUCUGCGCUGGCAGGCUUCGUCCCCAACUGAUUUUCGCCAUCCGCGCGCGGGUAUGGUCAAGAUCCGCUCGACCGGUCUUCUCCAUGCUCGCAUUGGGGUGAAGCUAAUCCCGCAUCCAUCGCGGGCUCAACUGGUCAGCGCAACAGACGACGCCGAUCCCGCGCUGGCCGUCGUGGCUUCCGCUGCGGACCAACUACCUGAACCGCGUAUCGCUGCAGCGAAGUCCGCCCCAGCAACAGCUCUUCUUCUCAGCCGGAAGAUUAGGCCAGGUUGUUGGGUCGCCCGGCAAUCGCGCUAACCACAGCUACACCUCGUCGCAGCUUCAAAAGCGGACAGGCCCCUGGUUCUUCCCCAAGUCGCGCGCACCUAGCAUCCCUUGGCCACACCAAAUCCGACCCUGAGCCAAACCAGUAAAGUGCUGUGUGUUUGUCACAGACAGCAGUGAGAGAAAGCGAGGAGACAUGGACUGGGGGAAGCCGCCUCCGUCAUUCAUCGUCCACAAUGCCGAUGGGGCCUGGGGUCAAUUGCUUGCUGGUGAUGAUGCUUCGUCGGGGGACCGCACCGAUCCGCAGAUGGGGUAUCGCCGCGCUAUGCACUGAUGGGCACGUCACCGGCGGAGCCAUGGCCACAUCACCUUGAAGCUUCUUCGGCCACUGCGAACUCGCCCUCUGUUCUCCUGGCCAUGGAAUUUGUGAUCGAUGACCUGUCCACCGUCGCGCGUGGGUGGUUCGCUGAACUCCAUAGGCGGGUCCAAACCCAACGCCGUCUCCAUCUGCGCCUCCCUCGCCAACGUGUUCGCCGACUUCGACCACUGGAUCCGCCCUCAAAAGCGAGGUUUCGAGUCACCUGAAGAUCACCCUGGUAACUGGAAUCUCAAGUGCCAG